Molecule: long non-coding RNA, 2950 nt
Organism: Cryptomeria japonica (Japanese cedar)
Lineage: Eukaryota; Viridiplantae; Streptophyta; Pinopsida; Cupressales; Cupressaceae
Exons: 3
Source: RefSeq, a predicted model, not a curated record
CAUGGAAUUAUUGUGGCUACAGAGUUUUUCAUAACCUUCAUUUUAGUGCUCACAGCCGAUUCAAGAUUGUAGGUACAAUUCUUUCUGUCUAUGAAAUAAUGGCUAUGAGUUUCCUAAAGGUCUUGCUCCUGCUUUAAACCUUCUCUGGCCUUCAUUUGACCCUCAUUCACAAAACAUCAUCCCUGGCUUUCUACAUGAGGGGAAUUCUGAAAAAACUAUCACAGGAAGCAAUUUUUUGAAGGGUUUUUAACUGUAAUUUUAGAGGCAUAAAACAUAACGAUGGAGCUGCAAGUAGCCUUUGCAUGAAGCUUCCUCCGUAGCUUUUUUUAAUGGAUAGGUAGAGGUCCAAAAGAGCCGAAAAAAAAUUAGCGGGUCGUCUCUUUGCAAGCAGGUUUGGCUGCCUUUCAUGUGUCACAAAAAAUCAAACUAUUGUAUGGCUACGGUUGUUUCUCAGAGUAGCAAUGGUGAGAAGAAUACGUGGGAUGUCGCUGCAGCUGACUAACAGAACCACAAUUUGGUGCAGUGAUACAAAUGAUUUUCAUUUACUUACAAUCAAGUAUUGAAUUCCCAAGGAUACACCAGAGAUUUUACGGAUUCAAUUGUGGGAUACUGUCAUAUGUUUGAAUUAAAUUCUUUAGAUUUUUCAAAAUUGUUACUGUUAAAUCUGUUUGGAAGUUUUUCCAUUUGCUGUAGUCUAAUUCUUUUGGAAAAAAUUGGCAUUUACUGUUAAAUAUGUUUGCAAAAAUUCUUUCCAGAAAAAUAGGCAUUUUAGCUAAAUUUGUUUUGAAAUUUUUUCCAAUUUUUUCGUUGAAGGUUUUCUUUAUUUCUUCAAUUUAAAGUUGUAGAGAAUUUUUGUUACAUGUGUUGACAUAGGCCGAUUGAAGUAAACCAUUCCAGGUGGACCAGUUCAGGACUUACAAAUUUAGAUUACUGAUUUACAAAUUACCAAUUUGACUCUCUUCUAUAUCUUCUGUCAUAUAAACCAAUAGAUUGCAUUUCGGCCUAUCCAAUUUUUCGUUAUUUUUUUCAACUCUAUUAUAAAAUCCAAUAGAUUUCAUAGAUUUCAUUUCGGCCUAUCCAAUUUUCCGUUAUUUUUUUCAACUCUAUCAUAAAACCCAAUAGAUUUAGAUUUCUGCCCGUCUAAUUUUCUGUUAUGUUUUUCAACUGUAGCUCCCUAUUGCAAGUUUUUUCGUAGAAGACUAUGCCUAGACUGCCAACCUAGAACCUACUGGGAAGUCAAGGUCUCCAAUGCCCCCUUCAGUGUAUAUCACUAUAAUCCCCUAUAAUAUCAUGAAUGUUAUUAGUAUUGUAAAAUUUGAUAACCUAAUGCUUGUAAACCACUGUUUGAGAUGAACCAGACAGUACGUCAGGAUAAAUUAUGGUAUAACUUCAACUUAAGGUUAGAAUUUUGUUAAUUAAAAGUCAUCCUCAUAUUCCACACCCUGCCCAUCCCAUCCCCUUCCCCUUGAUGAUCAGCAUAGUUUCUUCUCACAUAGCAUUGUUUAUUUCUUUUAUCUCUCAGCUUGAACUAACUGUUAAUAUGUUUUGAUUGUUGAACGACAUUAUGAAUCAAGCAGAUUUCAGAUUAGUGGAUUGUUAUUAUUUAAAUUUAUUAUCAAUUCGGAAAAGUGUGAUUUUCAAGGACAUUGUAGUUUUCCUAUUAUAGCUGACCCUUUGACAUCUUUCAUGCAAACAUUUUUGGUUGAGGAUUGCGUAGAUCUAAAGCCUCUUUAAGUUCUGAUAUAUAUUAAAAAAACAUUCUUUACAUUUCCUAGUAUCAUGUUUGCAUAUUUUAAAGAUACAAAAGAACAGAUGUGUCUUAGUAUAUAGUUAAUACUCUUUAAGUUAAACAUAAUCCAUGUCUGUACAUCUGUGUUCAUAGUAGAGCACGGUGUUUUCACUUUUCAAUUUUAAGGAUCGUAAUCUUAAGGUAUGGUUUGACGGGAUUUCAAUUUAAUUCAUUUCUAUUAUCAUGGAAAUCCUCGUACAAGUUCUCAGUUAUGUUCAUUCAUCUUACAAAAACAUUUUUUAUAUUUCCUGGAUUCAUAUGUAUCAAAGAUACAAAAGAGAAGAGAUGUCUUAUAAAUUAGAAUAUACACACUUAUACAUGAUAGGCUCUGGGCGUUUGCAUUUCUAGUAUAUCUGCGACUCUAAGAAUGGAGAGGACACAAAUAUUGGGAAUCUAUGCAAUCAUGUAUUUAAUAUUUCUACAAUAAUAGAAUGCUUUCACUAUUCUAUCUUUAAGAUUUGACUUAACCUCUUUAAGGGAUAUUAAUGAAACAAGAAGGUACCCAGGAAGUAAAGGAUACCAGAAUUACAGUCUACUUCCUCAUGGUUACAUAUCACAAACAGUACUAUAUCUAUUGAACAUAUUGUAAUUCAGAAAGACGGAGAUAACCAAAACAGAAUUGUAAUGAAGAAAAGGAUUUUACCUAGCUCCACCAGAGUUGAAGGUCCCUUGUCUUUUGAUGGCCACAAACGGCAAUUUUUUUUGAUAGAAUUCCACCACAGAUCUGCAGAGCAGAAAGACAUGAUUGAUUGAGACCCAACAAUGGCAAAGGCUUCUCCCCUUCCUCUUCCUCUUCCUCUUCUAGUCCAUUUUCAAUUUCUUUUAUCAUUUUAGAAAUUUGAACUAAUGAAAGGUGCAACCAUUAUUAAGUUUUCUGAGUGCUGAGAUUUGAAUAUUUUUCAACAAACAUGAAUGAAGUGGGUGAAUUGGAAUUUACUAGUUUUGAAUCUACAGAGGGAAAUUCCAAAUAAAAGCAAGUCACCUUGCCUUUAUGUAUAUAGAAAUGGUAUUUUGAGUUGGUUUUCUCCAUUGCCAAGUGCCAUAUUGUUAUAUGGACACCAAGCUACCAUGUGGGCUUGUAGACUUUAUACUUUCCUAACAUUCUCUACAAGAAUUGUUUAUUGAAGGAAUUAAAAUUUUGACACAUUUAAUAAUAUUGUU